Microtus oregoni (creeping vole) is the source of this 161-nucleotide long non-coding RNA. RefSeq lists it as uncharacterized. Lineage: Eukaryota; Metazoa; Chordata; Mammalia; Rodentia; Cricetidae. The transcript is spliced from 3 exons. The record is from RefSeq and is a predicted model, not a curated record.
GAAAAACGUACCCCGGAAGACUGGAACGAGAUUCUCUCUGUUCACAGUAGCCAACACUGUAUGACAAUGAGAUUAUCAAGUCCAACCUCAGAAGGUGUGCACCACCUUGCUGGAUUUAAUGAAGUACUAGAGGUCAAACCCAGAGACCCAUGCAUUCUAGG